UUCUAAAACAUUGUAUUGUAUUACACUAUUAUAGUGAAAAAAUAACACAAUAACUCGAGACUUCAAAACUCUAGGUUAAACAAAAUAACACGACAUAAUAACUCAAAGCUUCAUAACUCCAGGUUAAACAAAACAACACGACAUAAUAACUCGAGGCUUCAGAACUCCAGAUUAAACAAAACAACACGACAGAAUAACUUGAGGCUUCAGAACGCCAAGUUAAACAAAACAACAUGACAUAAUAACUCGAGGCUUCAGAACUCCAAGUUAAACAAAACA
Long non-coding RNA from Cucurbita moschata (crookneck pumpkin), 279 nucleotides. RefSeq lists it as uncharacterized. The transcript is spliced from 2 exons. The record is from RefSeq and is a predicted model, not a curated record. Lineage: Eukaryota; Viridiplantae; Streptophyta; Magnoliopsida; Cucurbitales; Cucurbitaceae.